CGUUCACUGCACUCUUGUGCUGCGUUCACUGUCCUCUCAUGCGGAGAAAAAAAAAACUCUUUCCGCCCAAACCGGACGUCACUUCAUCGCUUCACAAUGGUUCCUCCGGUCGCAGUGUCGCCGCUCAUCAAGACGGCCAGGUGGUCUGCCCUGCUACUCGGCGUCUUCUAUGGCAAGCAGAGGUUUGAGUACCUAAAGCCCAUUGCUGAAGAGGAGAGGAAGGUCGAGGAAGCAGAGAAAAAGGCCAGAGAGGAGCAGGAGCGCAUCUACAAACAACUGUCUGAAGCAAAUUCUGACACCAUCCUGAAAUGAACGAUCUGGACCUGAGUCGUUAAACACAAUAAAAACAUUAUUUUCCAUGUAA
Molecule: long non-coding RNA, 364 nt
Organism: Larimichthys crocea (large yellow croaker)
Lineage: Eukaryota; Metazoa; Chordata; Actinopteri; Sciaenidae
Exons: 4
Source: RefSeq, a predicted model, not a curated record